AUAAGAUUGUAGUAUCGCAUGAUAUAGCAAUUAAAAGGAAGCAAUUCGCUAUAAGAUGGACCCGCGUCGCAUUAGCUAGUUGGUGAGGUAAUGGCUCACCAAGGCGACGAUGCGUAGCCGACCUGAGAGGGUGAUCGGCCACAUUGGGACUGAGACACGGCCCAGACUCCUACGGGAGGCAGCAUG
This 186-nucleotide ribosomal RNA is filed under the name uncultured bacterium. RNAcentral's name for it is "partial 16S ribosomal RNA". It matches the Rfam family "Bacterial small subunit ribosomal RNA", at positions 173 to 353 of the family's 1533-position model. The record is from RNAcentral.